Molecule: ribosomal RNA, 500 nt
Filed under: uncultured bacterium
Lineage: Bacteria
Description: partial 16S ribosomal RNA
Rfam family: Bacterial small subunit ribosomal RNA
Source: RNAcentral
GAUGAACGCUAGCGGCAGGCUUAAUACAUGCAAGUCGAGGGACAGCACAGGUAGCAAUACUGGGUGGUAACCGGCAAACGGGUGCGGAACACGUACACAACCUUCCUUUAAGUGGGGGAUGGCCCAGAGAAAUUUGGAUUAAUACCCCGUAAUAUAGUUGAAUGGCAUCAUUUGAUUAUUAUAGCUACGGCGCUUAAUGAUGGGUGUGCGGCUGAUUAGAUAGUUGGCGGGGUAACGGUCCACCAAGUCUACGAUCAGUAGCUGAUGUGAGAGCAUGAUCAGCCACACGGGCACGGAGACACGGGCCCGACUCCUACGGGAGGCAGCAGUAAGGAAUAUUGGUCAAUGGACGCAAGUCUGAACCAGCCAUGCCGCGCGAAGGAUUAAGGUCCUCUGGAUUGUAAACUUCUUUUAUUUGGGACGAAAAAGGGUCUUUCUAGGUCAACUGACGGUACCAGAUGAAUAAGCACCGGCUAACUCCGUGCCAGCCGCCGCAGUAA